Molecule: non-coding RNA, 694 nt
Filed under: Leucauge celebesiana
Lineage: Eukaryota; Metazoa; Arthropoda; Arachnida; Araneae; Tetragnathidae
Source: RNAcentral
UUACAUUUUAUAUAAUGUUUAUAAAUAUUUUCUUAAUUAAAGAUUUAAAUAAAUAUUAACUUUAAAAUAUAUUAAUACAUAAAUAUGAUAAAAAAUAUAAGAAUUUUUAUUAACAAAUUAAGUGCCAGCAGUUGCGGUUAAACUUAUAAUAAAUAUAUUUAUUUUUAAAUUAAAUAUUAAAUAAUAAUUAAUUAAACUUAUUUUAAGUAAAAUUUUAUAAAUUUAAAAUAAAUAUUCAUUAUUUAAUCCAAAAUAUUGAUUUAAAAAAGGAUUAGAGACCCUUGUAUACAAUAAUAAUUUUUUAGGUAGUAAAAUUAGUAAAACCAAUAUAAAAUGGCGGCAUUUUAUCUUAUUAGAGGAAUAUGUCACCUAAUUGAUAAUACACAAUAAAUUUCACUUUUAGUUAUAUUUUAUAUACCACCAUCUAAAAAUUAAAUUUAAAAAUUUAAUUAUAAAAAAAUUAUAAUAAGUUAGGUAAAGGUGUAGACUAUAAAAAAGAAAAAGAUGUAUUACAUUAAAAAAUAUUUAAGGAAAAAAUUUCAUAAAAUUUUUUGAAAAAGGAUUUAAAAGUAAUUUUUUAGUAAUUUUAAAAAUUGAAUAAGAAAAUAAAUGUGUACAUAUCGCCCGUCACCCUUAUUACAAAAUAAGGUAAGUCGUAACAAAGUUGUUGUUCUAGAAAGAGCAUCAAGAAUCU